AUGGACCCAACAGCACCAGCGUUUAAUCGGGUUGCUGCUCCAACAGUUGAGCAUCUCGACCAGCGCGCACUACUAAUAAGGGAUAAAUUCAGUGCUGAUGGUUGGCUUUGUCCGCGUUGUUAUCAAGUAAACAACCCCAUAGACAAUCUACUCUAUAGGGUUCCAGCUUUCGAGUGUACUAAUCCCGAGAAGUGCAAUGCUAAGUGCCCUGGGACAGUUGAAUUGAGCAUUACUGACUGCAUAAUGAAUACCGUCAGGACCAAUUUUCUGAUUAGAAGUCAAGGCGAUAACCGGAACUGCACAGCACAUGCAGUCUUGGCCGGCAUGGAUGCUGCACUUAAAAUCGAAGGGGCCCUCCGCGGCGUGCCUGUGUUACAGGCACUCAAUGGUACAAGCCUAUUAAGAGACUACCACCGCUUCUAUCCGGAUGGUGUUGGGCAUGAACUACAGCGGGAAUGGAGAGGAUAUCACAGAUAUGAACAGCUGCUGAGGGUUGCCCAGGCGUUCGGAGUUGAGUAUGUGUCUCCUAUGAGAACAAUCACAAGGGCGCUGAGACUGCAAUCCUGGUUUCGACUGAUAACUAGGCAGACUAGUCUGGACUAUCUAGUGCGCCUGAUCGCUAAUGGCUAUCCGUUAUUAGCCACCAUGGAGAUUGGUCGCUGGUUCAGGCUGGCAGAGGAUGGACAGUUGUACAUGGGGCCUCCUGCUGAAUUUCCCGGUAAUCAUGCUGUGUUGCUGAUUGGAAGCGUAGCAAAACAAUUGGCGCUCCCAAAUAACAUAACCGGGCAGAGUGAGGUGGUUCCCAGCCUUCUUUUUAAGGCAAGGAACUCACAUGGGUCUACAGCUCACAGGUCUGCUGCACAAGGAGGUUAUGGUGGGGAUGUGUACCUAUUGGCGCAGGAUUUAGGUCCAUACUUGUAUGGAUUUCGUAUUGAGACCCCAACCUGGAUGCUUCCUAAUGCUGCCUGA
This 969-nucleotide ribosomal RNA is filed under the name Triticum aestivum (bread wheat). Its description in RNAcentral is "partial small subunit ribosomal RNA". Lineage: Eukaryota; Viridiplantae; Streptophyta; Magnoliopsida; Poales; Poaceae. The record is from RNAcentral.